GGGUUGUGAGGUUAAGCGACCAAGCGUACACGGUGGAUGCCCUGGCAGUCAGAGGCGAUGAAGGACGUGCUAAUCUGCGAAAAGCGCCGGUAAGGUGAUAUGAACCGUUAUAGCCGGCGAUGUCC
RNAcentral lists this ribosomal RNA (125 nucleotides) under Salmonella enterica. RNAcentral's name for it is "partial 23S ribosomal RNA". It matches the Rfam family "Bacterial large subunit ribosomal RNA", at positions 1 to 115 of the family's 2925-position model. Lineage: Bacteria; Pseudomonadati; Pseudomonadota; Gammaproteobacteria; Enterobacterales; Enterobacteriaceae. The record is from RNAcentral.